CCUACGGGCGGCAGCAGUGGGGAAUAUUGGACAAUGGGCGAAAGCCUGAUCCAGCCAUGCCGCGUGUGUGAAGAAGGCCUUCGGGUUGUAAAGCACUUUCAGUGGGGAAGAAAGCCUUGGGGCUAAUACCCUCGAGGAAGGACAUCACCCACAGAAGAAGCACCGGCUAACUCCGUGCCAGCAGCCGCGGUAAUACGGAGGGUGCGAGCGUUAAUCGGAAUUACUGGGCGUAAAGCGCGCGUAGGCGGUCUGAUAAGCCGGUUGUGAAAGCCCCGGGCUCAACCUGGGAACGGCAUCCGGAACUGUCAGGCUAGAGUGCAGGAGAGGAAGGUAGAAUUCCCGGUGUAGCGGUGAAAUGCGUAGAGAUCGGGAGGAAUACCAGUGGCGAAGGCGGUCUUCUGGACUGAAACUGACGCUGAGGUGCGAAAGCGUGGGUAGCAAACAGGAUUAGAUACCCCAGUAGUC
Molecule: ribosomal RNA, 465 nt
Filed under: Vreelandella stevensii
Lineage: Bacteria; Pseudomonadati; Pseudomonadota; Gammaproteobacteria; Oceanospirillales; Halomonadaceae
Description: partial 16S ribosomal RNA
Rfam family: Bacterial small subunit ribosomal RNA
Source: RNAcentral